This 411-nucleotide ribosomal RNA is filed under the name uncultured bacterium. RNAcentral's name for it is "bacterial SSU rRNA". It matches the Rfam family "Bacterial small subunit ribosomal RNA", at positions 9 to 422 of the family's 1533-position model. The record is from RNAcentral.
GAGUUUGAUCCUGGCUCAGAUUGAACGCUGGCGGCAGGCCUAACACAUGCAAGUCGAGCGGUGGAGAGAAGCUUGCUUCUCUUGAGAGCGGCGGACGGGUGAGUAAUGCCUAGGAAUCUGCCUGGUAGUGGGGGAUAACGCUCGGAAACGGACGCUAAUACCGCAUACGUCCUACGGGAGAAAGCAGGGGACCUUCGGGCCUUGCGCUAUCAGAUGAGCCUAGGUCGGAUUAGCUAGUUGGUGAGGUAAUGGCUCACCAAGGCGACGAUCCGUAACUGGUCUGAGAGGAUGAUCAGUCACACUGGAACUGAGACACGGUCCAGACUCCUACGGGAGGCAGCAGUGGGGAAUAUUGGACAAUGGGCGAAAGCCUGAUCCAGCCAUGCCGCGUGUGUGAAGAAGGUCUUCGGA